GAUGAACGCUGGCGGCGUGCCUAAUACAUGCAAGUCGAGCGAACAGAUGAGGAGCUUGCUCCUCUGACGUUAGCGGCGGACGGGUGAGUAACACGUGGAUAACCUACCUCUAAGACUGGGAUAACUUCGGGAAACCGGAGCUAAUACCGGAUAAUAUAUUGAACCGCAUGGUUCAAUAGUGAAAGACGGUUUUGCUGUCACUUAUAGAUGGAUCCGCGCCGCAUUAGCUAGUUGGUAAGGUAACGGCUUACCAAGGCAACGAUGCGUAGCCGACCUGAGAGGGUGAUCGGCCACACUGGAACUGAGACACGGUCCAGACUCCUACGGGAGGCAGCAGUAGGGAAUCUUCGGCAAUGGGCGAAAGCCUGACGGAGCAACGCCGCGUGAGUGAUGAAGGUCUUCGGAUCGUAAAACUCUGUUAUUAGGGAAGAAAAAAUGUGUAAGAAACUAUGCACGUCUUGACGGUACCUAAUCAGAAAGCCACGGCUAACUACGUG
Molecule: ribosomal RNA, 497 nt
Filed under: uncultured bacterium
Lineage: Bacteria
Description: partial 16S ribosomal RNA
Rfam family: Bacterial small subunit ribosomal RNA
Source: RNAcentral